Molecule: unclassified non-coding RNA, 603 nt
Filed under: Hevea brasiliensis (rubber tree)
Lineage: Eukaryota; Viridiplantae; Streptophyta; Magnoliopsida; Malpighiales; Euphorbiaceae
Source: RNAcentral
ACUAAUCAUAACCAAAUAUUCAAUCACAAAUUUUGCUGUUUCCGUCUUCCCAGAUCCACUUUCCCCACUUAUGAUGAUGGAUUGAUUUAUUUCAUCUUCCAUUAUUUGACUGUAGGCAGUUUCAGCAACAGAAUAAAUGUGAGGACUAUCCAAGAGUUUCUGCUUGUAUGCUGUAACAAAUUUGCUCCCAUACAAUUGGAUCUCUUUGAAGGGGUUGACUGCUAUUAGAACAGGCCCUGCCUUAGUAUAUAUUCUAUCUUGAGCAUGUCUAUAUUGGAGGUUGUGAAGAACCGAUGGCUCAUUAAGAUAACAAAGUUGUCUGAGAUCAUCCACGCCCUGAAGAAUAUCUGGAUUUGCAGGUAAAAGCUCUCCAACGGGCACUGCCACAACACUGCCAUCAGAGAGCAAUACUGAGGCUUUGUCUCCAGAAGUUGAUUGCACCUGUCCUCGUUCCCACUGUCUAUUUUUCAGAUGGCACCAAACACGAAGCUUCUUUUCAAUAAAAUAACUGAUAUUGUCGUCCCACUCGUCCUCGCGAAACUUUGGGAGAGAAUAAGGAAGCUUGUUAUCAAGCUUGGCACCAUCGUUUUCCCAAAAUCUCUG